UUGAACCGCUGGCGGGAAUGCUUUAACCACAUUGCAAAGUCGAACCGGUAGGAGGGGGGCAACCCCCUUGGAGAGUGGCGAACGGGUGGAGUAAUAUAUCGGGAACGUGCCCCAGUCGUGGGGGAUAACGUUAGUGAAAAAUUCGGCUAAUACCGCAUACGAUCUAAGGAUGAAAGCGGGGGAUCGCAAGCCCUCGCGCGACUGGAGCGGCCGAUAUCAGAUUAGGUAGUUGGUAGGGAAAAGGCCUCCCAAGCCAACGAUCUGUAGCUGGUCUGAGAGGACGACCAGCCACACUGGAACUGAGACACGGUCCAGACUCCUACGGGAGGCAGCAGUGGGGAAUUUUGGACAAUGGGCGAAAGCCUGAUCCAGCCAUUCCGCGUGCAGGAUGAAGGCCCUCGGGUUGUAAACUGCUUUUGUACAGAACGAAAAGGUCUCUAUUAAUACUAGGGGCUCAUGACGGUACUGUAAGAAUAAGCACCGGCUAACUACGUGCCAGCAGCCGCGGUAAUACGUAGGGUGCAAGCGUUAAUCGGAAUUACUGGGCGUAAAGCGUGCGCAGGCGGUUAUAUAAGUCAGAUGUGAAAUCCCCGGGCUCAACCUGGGAACUGCAUUUGAGACUGUAUAGCUAGAGUACGGUAGAGGGGGAUGGAAUUCCGCGUGUAGCAGUGAAAUGCGUAGAUAUGCGGAGGAACACCGAUGGCGAAG
RNAcentral lists this ribosomal RNA (708 nucleotides) under Pseudomonadota bacterium. Its description in RNAcentral is "bacterial SSU rRNA". It matches the Rfam family "Bacterial small subunit ribosomal RNA", at positions 29 to 720 of the family's 1533-position model. Lineage: Bacteria; Pseudomonadati; Pseudomonadota. The record is from RNAcentral.